CCUACGGGCGGCAGCAGUGAGGAAUAUUGGUCAAUGGGCGCGAGCCUGAACCAGCCAAGUAGCGUGAAGGAUGACUGCCCUACGGGUUGUAAACUUCUUUUAUAAAGGAAUAAAGUGAGGCACGUGUGCCUUUUUGUAUGUACUUUAUGAAUAAGGAUCGCCUAACUCCGUGCCAGCAGCCGCGGUAAUACGGAGGAUCCGAGCAUUAUCCUGAUUUAUUGGGUUUAAAGGGAGCGUAGAUGGGUUGUUAAGUCAGUUGUGAAAGUUUGCGGCUCAACCGUAAAAUUGAAAUUGAUACUGGCAGACUUGAGUACAGUUGAGGUAGGCGGAAUUCGUGGUGUAGCGGUGAAAUGCGUAGAUAUGACGAAGAACUCCGAUUGCGAAGGCAGCUUACUAAACUGCCACUGACAUUGAUGCUCGAAAGUGUGGGUAUCAAACAGGAUUAGAUACCCUAGUAGUC
RNAcentral lists this ribosomal RNA (460 nucleotides) under uncultured bacterium. RNAcentral describes it as "partial 16S ribosomal RNA". It matches the Rfam family "Bacterial small subunit ribosomal RNA", at positions 338 to 795 of the family's 1533-position model. The record is from RNAcentral.